RNAcentral lists this long non-coding RNA (1093 nucleotides) under Sarcophilus harrisii (Tasmanian devil). RNAcentral describes it as "lncRNA (ENSSHAG00000021165.1)". The record is from RNAcentral. Lineage: Eukaryota; Metazoa; Chordata; Mammalia; Dasyuromorphia; Dasyuridae.
CUUUAUCAUUUUAAGUACCUUAUUUUUCUUAUGAAAUUACUUGCUAGAAUAUACAUGGGCCAAGCUAAGCUACUCUUUAAGCUGAUAAACUAUUCUAUUUUUUUAAUGUCAUGAUGAGGCCCUGUAACAUACAUAUAGAUGUUUGUAAGGUUGUAAAUGGUUGUUCCAAAACACUGGAAAAUCAUAUUAUGUCCAUGAAUAUAAAUCUCAUUAGUUCAGAUCCGGUGGGCCACAGGGGGAGAGUUUAACAUAUGACCAAUUCAGAAAGGAGAACACUGACCUAAUAGAACAAGAAGAAGUUGUUUUACAAUCCUUUAUUAGUAUAUGAUUACCCUUUAAGGGUUUCACUUACUAACCUUUUUAAACAAUCAUCUAAGGCAAUUUUACAGUUCACUUAAAAUUUUUAAGACUAUACACUCCUAGGACCUUAGCCUCUUUUCAAGAGAGACAAAGGGAAAAUUGCAUAAAAACUGCCCUGUUUAGAUGUUACUCUAUUGUAGGAGUGGCUCUAUAUUAUCCCCCUUCUAUAACCAACCAGCAUGGCUUUGACUGCUACAUACAGCUCAAUUGUAGCAUGCAAAAAUGGAUUCUGCUUCCUAAAUUUAUUAAUUGGCAUGCAAGUUUCUGCAGAAAUCCAUAGUCCCCCAAAAUUAAUGACAAAUAUACGUUGCAGAUUUAACUUAAGACAACAUAUAGCUGGAAAACCAACACUUGAACACAAUUGUGGGCCUGAGAGGAAGGAACACAAGAGAAAUAGUUCUAGUUUCUCAACCUCACAAGUAUAUAAAGACUUUAACAGCAUACAGAUGAUUUAAAAUAAUACAAAGUUCCCAGAGUAAAUAAUUUAUAUUCCCACUACAUUUUACGAGUUUCCACGUAGGGCAAGACAGUUUCUCACAGUGAAAAAGCACUUAUCAUACAUAGGCACACUGACUGAGACUGUCCAAGUUCCAUGAACACCUUACAAAGUUUUAUGGCAAACCACAUCAAUUUCCUUUCUUCUCCAACUAUUUGAAAAUUAACAUUUUAGAAGUAGAAUAUAUUUUUAAAUCAGUAAUAAUUAUUUCAAAACAUUUUUAACACACUACAUAAG